This 2848-nucleotide long non-coding RNA is filed under the name Cricetulus griseus (Chinese hamster). RNAcentral's name for it is "lncRNA (ENSCGRG00015038900.1)". Lineage: Eukaryota; Metazoa; Chordata; Mammalia; Rodentia; Cricetidae. The record is from RNAcentral.
CCUCUCCGCUGUCCUUAAAGGGGCCGCGCGGGACGCCGCGGUGGCGCGCGGCCGGGGUGUGGGGAGCCUGAGGCGGCGGCGGCCGGCAGCCGUAGGGGGAAGGCACGGCGGAGGGAGCCGGUUUGUUUUUAAACUCUGCCUCCGCUCGUCGUCUUGCGCUCUGGUUCCUCCGAGUUGUUUAUUCCAUUUUCCUCUUCCUGAGACGGCCGCUGCCUCUGCGCGUGCGCGCGCGGGGCGCGGGGGCUUGUGGGUAAAGGCCUGGCCCGGGCGGCAGGCGUGGCCCCCCGGGGGCAUCCGCGAGCUGCCCGGGAGGCCGUUGGUCCAGCUGAAGCCCCUUUGGUGCGUGGUCUUCCACUCGUCGCGGGUCGGGUGCUGAGGUUUCACGAGGCGGGAUGCCUUCCUUGAGCCAGGUGCUUGUGAGCUUUGAAGUGAAAAGACAAAAUUGACAGCCCGUCACUGGUCCUUUGAGGGGGACGCGGCCCAGCCUGGCUCCCCGGAGAGUUUUCGUUCCGCCCGCCACGUUUCCUCUCCCUCUUCCCUUUUGCCCACCAACACCCUAUUUUUUUUUUUUUUUUGUACUCCCCCUCGAAGGUGAUGGCACUUCUGGCCAGAUAUCCUUAGGUUCUGGGCGCUUUGUCAAAAAAUGGAGCCAGAAUCGUUGAUGUCAACACACCCCCUGCUUACAGCAGCACCUGUUUCCUCCGCUUGGACGGCCCUCCUUGAUUUUUUUUUUUUUUUUUCUUUUGAAAAAUAAGAUGCCACCUGGGACAGUGCUGCCUAGGCAGCACGGGAAGACCCAUUUCCAAACGUGCUUGAAUGCUUUCCUACUCUGUAUUCGAAAUUCACUUUUUUAAAAUUUUUCCCUCAUUAGUUUCCAAUUUACUCCACUAUUUUCCCCCCUAAGGGGAGAGGCGCUAAGACAUUUUGAAGACCAUCAAUGAAGUGAAAAUUGAUUUUAACGUUUUAGUUUUUUCUCUGCAAGAUUUUCUCAAAAGACAAAUCCGUGUUCUGAAAAGGACGGGUGUGGGCGGUAUUUAAGGAGUUGUGGCAACCUGGCGAAGUCACAGAAGCAUGGAUAUAAACAAAAGUGCCACUGCAGAAAGGGUGAGAUGCAUGCUGUAGAUGACAAUCUGGUAAGCCUAGUGAUGUUGCCUAGCUAAGUUCUAAGCUGAUACCUUUCUAUGUGAAAGCAGUUUUCACUCAUUUAAAUAUUGAACAAGUAUUUGUUGGUGUUUAUUACAUGUACCAGUGACUGGAAAGAAGCUGGGUACGAGUGAACAAGAUGCAGUCGUACCUGAAUUCAGAAGGCUUGUUUAUCCUCUUGCUAGUGAAGUGAAAGAUAGAGGCAGGUGUAAAUUAGGGUGUCUAAUGCCACCUUAAUAUCUAAUGACACCGAAUCAGCUGUCAGAGAGGACUUAAAGAUGUUGGACUACCCAGAGAAAAGUGAUAGAACAGCAGCAUCCUCCAGUUCAGAUCUGCAUUGGAAACUCAGUUGCCUCUCUGUGCCUCAUUUGUACAUCUGAGAUAAAAGUAUCAAUUUUGUAAUGAUGCAUUUUAAUGUCUGUGUGUGGGGAAAAAAUCAUUAGGGCUUAGCAAUUCCCUGUUAUUGUUACUAGGUAUGUAGAGAAAAGAGUGGAGAGCAUGCUGGACAAAUCAGACAGCUUGUGAAGGAGGCCUUGGGGUGAAACAAGUUAGGUUGUUGGGAGAUUAGUGAUAGCAGAUGGCUGAGCAGAAUCCACAGAAGUCCUUUUCAGGCCAUGACUUACCUGGUAACAACUUGUGCUGUUUAUGUUGUGUUUCACUAUUGGGAAAUUAACUUGCAUGUCUUAAUAGCUUGACAAGGAAGAUGGUAUGUAUAGUGAGAUAACAGGGGUUUGAUGAAUUCAUGCCAUGCUCAACAUACUGUUAAAACUAACGUUAAUGAGAAUCUACCAUGUAUUACAUACCAAGCAAGAUCUGUGCUAGGCUCUGACAUACAGUGUAUGUAAGAUAUGGCCUCAGGAUGUUUCGGUUGUGGGAACCCAUAGUGACUCCUCUUGUGUCUUUAUUCCAUCUUGACUUAAGAUUAGACAGUUCUCGUUUGUUUUCACUCCUUCAAGAUCAAUCAUUGGAUCUUUGGACUAAAGUGUAGUUGCUGUAUGUCUUCCUUAGAUAACAGGAUGCUUAGCCAAGGAUGUGACUGCUGGAUAUUUUGCUUCUUAAAACAUAAUAACAGGAUGUUUGAGCUAUUAGAUGUUUCGAGUGUUCUUUGUAUCAUGGGGGGAAGUCUUUUUGGCCUCCCCCUUUUGCUUGGGGUAUAAAGGGGAUAUGAAAAAUAAACUAGGGGCAGAUUCAGUAUUCACUGGAAUGCCCUCCUGACUCUAUCCUGUGUGUGUCUUUUCUUUAGUAUCUUUAAUUUUCUACCUGCCAUUUCUCAAUCCACACUCCUCCUUUCAAGCACAGACCAACAGAUAGCACCGUGGACUUUGGGGCUUGAAUAUAGAGGAUAAAGUGAUGGACACUGCAGUGUGAAGAGAGCUCUCUUGGAUAAAAGUGAAGUUCAUUGAGCAAAACUCAGGAGUAAAAAUUGUAAAUAAUUGUGGACAUGAGACAAGGAAGAACAGUUUUUGAUUGUACAUUCACUUAGAGAUAUUCUGAAGACCAGGGGAGCUAAAGUAAACUGCAAAUACAGAAAUUUUUAGAGUUUAUAAAGCAGAUAUGCCCUUGGUUUCCAGAGCACAGAACUUUGGAUCCAGACACAUGGGCAAGAAUUGGGGUGAAAAUCCAACAACAUGAGUAUGGGCAUGGAAGCGUCCCAAUAGAUGCCUUUAGGCUGUGAGUGCUUAUACAGGCACACCUAGAAUCAGGC